Molecule: long non-coding RNA, 1931 nt
Filed under: Homo sapiens (human)
Lineage: Eukaryota; Metazoa; Chordata; Mammalia; Primates; Hominidae
Description: HSALNT0334815
Source: RNAcentral
GCAAGUUCCCCUGCAGUUGUUUGGGCUGUCGCUGUGGCUGGUUCUGCGGUGUGCGGCCAGCCAUGGAGCGCUCUGGGCCCAGCGAAGUGACAGGCUCAGACGCAUCGGGACCGGACCCGCAGCUUGUGGUCACCAUGGGCUUCACGGGGUUCGGGGUUCGGUAAAAAAGCUCACACAUUUGACUUGGAAGCAAUGUUUGAACAAACUCAAAGAACAGCUGUGGAAAGAAGUCACAAAACACUGGCAUUGGUUUGCCAGGGGCUCCCAGGCCUCUAGCCGCAGACUGAAGGCUGCACUGUGAGCCUCCCUACCUUUGAAGUUUGGGACUCAGACUGGCUUCUUGGCUCCUCAGCUUGCAGUCGGCCUAUUGUGAGACUUCCCCUUGUGAUCAUACCAGAUUACAGAGGGGUAUUGAUUUGCCUUGCCCCCGCCCCCACCAUCACAGUGUGUCCCUGUCCAGUGUUGGUGCUGUGUGGCAUUGCUUGUGUCCAUAGGAGUCCAUCAAGGCAGAGCGGCAGAGCGGCAAGCAGAGCGGCAAGGCAGGUCAGCUUCCGGCUCUUCCAGGCUGCAUGUCCCCCUCAAUAUCCUUUCAACCCAAUGGAAAUGGAUUGAAAGAGUGAAAGUCACUGGUCUCAAAGAAUCUACGGAAUUUAGCAUUUUGAAAAUCACAGAGCAAUUUUGGGUAGGUAUUCACAUGCACUAAAAAACCAGGCAAACAUCUGACUCCCAGGAUAAAGUGACUGAGAGCAGUAGAAGACUUGUUGAGCCUUAAGGAAUAAGAGGAAAAUUAUGUUAUGAAGUGCAGGAACAGCACAGACCCAGACGAGGGGAUGCAGCCCGGAGCCAGUAACCCGGCGCCUCCUCCUCCCCAGGGCGCAGCGCUGGCUGCUCCCCGGAUACCGUGAUCACACGUCCCAGGUCCUGAGAGCGCCUCAUAGGUAGACAGUUCUUUGGGACUUUUGGGACGCAGCACUUGAAGAGAGGUUUACCUAAACUUUCCUCCUGGGAGCCUGUCAUCAUUUGAAAGUAACAGAAGAAAGCUGUCAGGCUGAGGAAAGUUUCAACAGGCACUUGGUGAGAAUGGGAAGCAUCCAUUCAUUGGGAAAUCACGGGGACAGAGGAGGAAUUCACGGGAUCAGAGCACUGAGAAACUCCAGAGGCUUCUGGUUCACCGCCCUGAUUCCACAGAUGUGGGUCAGAGGCAGAGAUGGAAGUUGGAAUGGACAAGCCUGCCCUCUCCUCAGCUCUCCAUGGCUCUGUCCUCAGGCUGUUUCUGCAAUUUGACAUGAGGCCUGGCCCCAGGGAAACCAGUGGGGCCUCAUCUCCUCCCUGUGCUGCUCUGAGGUGGAGCCUUCUCAGGGUCAGUCCAGCUCUGGAGCCCCUCUCCAGCUCGGUCACCAAAGCUGUCUGGUCCCAGGGCAGUGUGGAGUGACAGGCACGCCAGCCAAUCCAAUCGGCCAUUUCAUACCCAAUGCAUGUGACUGAUAAAGAGAUAACACCCUGUCUCCAAGACACAGGCUUUACAUAAACAGCUUUAAUGACUUCUUCACUUAGGGACAAGACUCCUUAGUGGUGGAACCUCAGGCAUCCAUGCAGGAUGUAAGAAAGCUCCCGUAUAUACAUGAACUGAGAAGUGUGUAGAAGAGUAAAUACUGUAAUAGGUAAUAAAAUGUAUGUAUUUUUAUUUAUGUGCUACUUUGUCUUUCUCCCUCUCUGUGUAUAUACACAUACAUACAAAAAUGUAUUCAUUCUAUGGAAAACAUGAAAGAUGUAAUAUUCUUUACAUAUUUAAUUAAUGUAUUUUUUCUGAUCAUAUGAACACCACAAAUAUAAUUUUAUAAUUUUUUUACCUAACAAUAAGUCUUAAACAUAAAUAUACAUGGACAAUAUCAUAGUUUUUUUUUUAAUCAUAAUUAAAAUGGUUGUGAAAC